UUCAGACCAAACGUGAAUCAGAACUGUGUUCCUUUGCCCGUUUUUAUUGAAUUGUGGACUGUAAAGACCGAUUUUGUCUACUGCAUUCGUCAUUGUGUUGCUCCACUCCAGUCAGUGAGUGAUCAGGGUACCGGUAGUCGCUGCCCAAAGUAGGCCUAGAGAAUCUAACUUGAAAA
Molecule: long non-coding RNA, 176 nt
Organism: Lytechinus variegatus (green sea urchin)
Lineage: Eukaryota; Metazoa; Echinodermata; Echinoidea; Temnopleuroida; Toxopneustidae
Exons: 2
Source: RefSeq, a predicted model, not a curated record